The sequence is a ribosomal RNA, 3121 nucleotides long. It matches the Rfam family "Bacterial large subunit ribosomal RNA".
CCAAGUUUUUAAGGGCGCACGGUGGAUGCCUUGGCACCAGGAACCGAUGAAGGACGUGGGAGGCCACGAUAGGCCCCGGGGAGUCGUCAACCAGGCUUUGAUCCGGGGGUGUCCGAAUGGGGAAACCCGGCAGUCGUCAUGGGCUGUCACCCUUGCCUGAACACAUAGGGCAAGUGGAGGGAACGCGGGGAAGUGAAACAUCUCAGUACCCGCAGGAAGAGAAAACAACCGUGAUUCCGGGAGUAGUGGCGAGCGAAACCGGAUGAGGCCAAACCGUAUGCGUGUGAGACCCGGCAGGGGUUGCGUAUACGGGGUUGUGGGAUCUCUCUUCUGUUGUCUGCCGGCAACAGGACGAGUCAGAAACCGUUGAUGUAGGCGAAGGACAUGCGAAAGGUCCGGCGUAGAGGGUAAGACCCCCGUAGCUGAAACAUUGACGGCUCGUUUGAGAGACACCCAAGUAGCACGGGGCCCGAGAAAUCCCGUGUGAAUCUGGCGGGACCACCCGCUAAGCCUAAAUAUUCCCUGGUGACCGAUAGCGGAUAGUACCGUGAGGGAAUGGUGAAAAGUACCGCGGGAGCGGAGUGAAAUAGUACCUGAAACCGUGUGCCUACAAGCCGUGGGAGCGUCGGACAUCAAGCUUGCUUGGUGUCUCGUGACUGCGUGCCUUUUGAAGAAUGAGCCUGCGAGUUUGCGGUGUGUUGCGAGGUUAACCCGGGUGGGGUAGCCGUAGCGAAAGCGAGUCCGAACAGGGCGUUUUAGUAGCACGCUCAAGACCCGAAGCGGAGUGAUCUAGCCAUGGGCAGGUUGAAGCGGAGGUAAGACUUCGUGGAGGACCGAACCCACCAGGGUUGAAAACCUGGGGGAUGACCUGUGGUUAGGGGUGAAAGGCCAAUCAAACUCCGUGAUAGCUGGUUCUCCCCGAAAUGCAUUUAGGUGCAGCGUCGUGUGUUUCUUGCCGGAGGUAGAGCACUGGAUAGGCGAUGGGCCCUACCGGGUUACUGACCUUAGCCAAACUCCGAAUGCCGGUAAGUGAGAGCGCGGCAGUGAGACUGUGGGGGAUAAGCUCCAUGGUCGAGAGGGAAACAGCCCAGAGCAUCGACUAAGGCCCCUAAGCGUACGCUAAGUGGGAAAGGAUGUGGAGUCGCAGAGACAACCAGGAGGUUGGCUUAGAAGCAGCCACCCUUGAAAGAGUGCGUAAUAGCUCACUGGUCUAGUGAUUCCGCGCCGACAAUGUAGCGGGGCUCAAGCGUACCGCCGAAGUCGUGUCAUUGCGAUAUAUACCCCCAACAGGGAUCGUGAUGGGUAGGGGAGCGUCGUGUGCCGGGUGAAGCAGCCGUGGAAGCGAGUUGUGGACGGUUCACGAGUGAGAAUGCAGGCAUGAGUAGCGAUACAAACGUGAGAAACGUUUGCGCCGAUUGACCAAGGGUUCCUGGGUCAAGCUGAUCUGCCCAGGGUAAGUCGGGACCUAAGGCGAGGCCGACAGGCGUAGUCGAUGGAUAACCGGUUGAUAUUCCGGUACCCGCUGUGAAGCGUCAAACAUUGAACCAGGCGAUGCUAAGUCCGUGAAGCCGUCCCGGAUCCUUCGGGUGAAGGGGAGUGGUGGAGCCGACGGACCAGACUUGCAGUAGGUGAGUGAUGGGGUGACGCAGGAAGGUAGUCCAUCCCGGGCGGUGGUUGUCCCGGGGUAAGGGUGUAGGCCGUGCGAUAGGUAAAUCCGUCGCACACAAGGCUGAGACCUGAUGCCGAGCCGAUUGUGGUGAAGUGGAUGAUCCUAUGCUGUCGAGAAAAGCCUCUAGCGAGUUUCAUGGCGGCCCGUACCCUAAACCGACUCAGGUGGUCUGGUAGAGAAUACCGAGGCGUUCGGGUGAACUAUGGUUAAGGAACUCGGCAAAAUGCCCCCGUAACUUCGGGAGAAGGGGGGCCAUCACUGGUGAUCCGAUUUACUCGGUGAGCUGGGGGUGGCCGCAGAGACCAGCGAGAAGCGACUGUUUACUAAAAACACAGGUCCGUGCGAAGCCGUAAGGCGAUGUAUACGGACUGACGCCUGCCCGGUGCUGGAACGUUAAGGGGACCGGUUAGUCACUCUUCGGGGUGGCGAAGCUGAGAACUUAAGCGCCAGUAAACGGCGGUGGUAACUAUAACCAUCCUAAGGUAGCGAAAUUCCUUGUCGGGUAAGUUCCGACCUGCACGAAUGGCGUAACGACUUCUCGACUGUCUCAACCAUAGGCCCGGUGAAAUUGCACUACGAGUAAAGAUGCUCGUUUCGCGCAGCAGGACGGAAAGACCCCGGGACCUUUACUACAGUUUGAUAUUGGUGUUCGGUUCGGCUUGUGUAGGAUAGCUGGGAGACUGUGAAGCUCGGACGCCAGUUCGGGUGGAGUCGUCGUUGAAAUACCAGUCUGGUCGUGCUGGAUGUCUAACCCGGGUCCGUGAUCCGGAUCGGGGACAGUGUCUGAUGGGUAGUUUAACUGGGGCGGUUGCCUCCCAAAGGGUAACGGAGGCGCCCAAAGGUUCCCUCAGCCUGGUUGGCAAUCAGGUGGUGAGUGUAAGUGCACAAGGGAGCUUGACUGUGAGACCGACGGGUCGAGCAGGGACGAAAGUCGGGACUAGUGAUCCGGCGGUGGCUUGUGGAAGCGCCGUCGCUCAACGGAUAAAAGGUACCCCGGGGAUAACAGGCUGAUCUUCCCCAAGAGUCCAUAUCGACGGGAUGGUUUGGCACCUCGAUGUCGGCUCGUCGCAUCCUGGGGCUGGAGUCGGUCCCAAGGGUUGGGCUGUUCGCCCAUUAAAGCGGUACGCGAGCUGGGUUUAGAACGUCGUGAGACAGUUCGGUCCCUAUCCGCUGCGCGCGCAGGAAUAUUGAGAAGGGCUGUCCCUAGUACGAGAGGACCGGGACGGACGAACCUCUGGUGUGCCAGUUGUUCUGCCAAGGGCAUGGCUGGUUGGCUACGUUCGGGAGGGAUAACCGCUGAAAGCAUCUAAGCGGGAAGCCUGCUUCGAGAUGAGUAUUCCCACCCACUUGAUGGGGUAAGGCUCCCAGUAGACGACUGGGUUGAUAGGCCAGAUAUGGAAGCCUGGUAACGGGUGGAGUUGACUGGUACUAAUAGGCCGAGGGCUUGUCCUC